This 536-nucleotide ribosomal RNA is filed under the name Pichia manshurica. RNAcentral's name for it is "partial 26S ribosomal RNA". It matches the Rfam family "Eukaryotic large subunit ribosomal RNA", at positions 88 to 651 of the family's 3401-position model. The record is from RNAcentral. Lineage: Eukaryota; Fungi; Ascomycota; Pichiomycetes; Pichiales; Pichiaceae.
GGCGAGUGAGCGGCAAGAGCUCAGAUUUGAAAUCGUGUUUCGGCACGAGUUGUAGAGUGUAGGCGGGAGUCUCUGUGGAGCGCGGUGUCCAAGUCCCUUGGAACAGGGUGCCUGAGAGGGUGAGAGCCCCGUAGGGUGCUGCGCGAAGCUUUUGAGGCCCUGCUGACGAGUCGAGUUGUUUGGGAAUGCAGCUCCAAGCGGGUGGUAAAUUCCAUNUAAGGCUAAAUAUUGGCGAGAGACCGAUAGCGAACAAGUACUGUGAAGGAAAGAUGAAAAGCACUUUGAAAAGAGAGUGAAACAGCACGUGAAAUUGUUGAAAGGGAAGGGUAUUGGGCUCGACAUGGGGGGUGCGCACCGCUGUCUCUUGUAGGCGGCGCUCUGGGCGCCCUCUGGGCCAGCAUCGGUUCCUGCUGCGGGAGAAGGGGCUCCGGAAAGUGGCUCUUCGGAGUGUUAUAGCCGGGGCCAGAUGCCGCGUGUGGGGACCGAGGACUGCGGCUUCUGUCUCGGAUGCUGGCAUAACGGCGCAAUACCGCCCG